CGUUAUUGGUCAAAGCCGACAGAUUAUAUUCCCUGCUUCACUAGACCAGAAGUGCUACGCUUGUGACCGGGUUGACGAUAAUUUACGUCUUGUAAGCGUGUGUGGUCGGAUGUGCUCGAUAAAAUUCAAAACAAAAUUGUGAUACUUAAAUGUCUACUGGCAAUUUAUAGUUACGGCAGUUACAUGAAUUGUUCCUGUGAACACGACUCUAUUCCAGGAAGUGAACAUUGGUGAACGUUAAUUAUUAGCCCAUUUGUCGCUUCCUCGUGUUGCCGGGAAGGAAGACCCACUGGUUGAUUUCGCUCCUGUUUAUAAGUUCCCUGCAGCACAAACCAAAUGGGAGAAGUUGACGCCUGUGAAC
Schistocerca serialis cubense is the source of this 361-nucleotide long non-coding RNA. RefSeq lists it as uncharacterized. The record is from RefSeq and is a predicted model, not a curated record. Lineage: Eukaryota; Metazoa; Arthropoda; Insecta; Orthoptera; Acrididae. The transcript is spliced from 3 exons.